Molecule: ribosomal RNA, 253 nt
Filed under: uncultured bacterium
Lineage: Bacteria
Description: partial 16S ribosomal RNA
Rfam family: Bacterial small subunit ribosomal RNA
Source: RNAcentral
UACAGAGGUCUCAAGCGUUGUUCGGAUUCAUUGGGCGUAAAGGGUGCGUAGGUGGCGCGCUAAGUCAGGUGUGAAAUUUCGGAGCUUAACUCCGAAACUGCAUUUGAUACUGGCGUGCUUGAGGACUGGAGAGGAGACUGGAAUUCACGGUGUAGCAGUGAAAUGCGUAGAUAUCGUGAGGAAGACCAGUGGCGAAGGCGGUUCUCUGGGCCUUACCUGACGCUGAGGAGCGAAAGCGUGGGGAGCGAACAGG